AACGAACGCUGGCGGCGCGCCUAAUACAUGCAAGUCGAACGAGAAGGUGUAGCAAUACACUUGUACAGUGGCGAACGGGUGAGGAAUGCAUGGGUAACCUACCCUCGAGUGGGGAAUAACCAGCCGAAAGGUUGGCUAAUACCGCGUACGUUUCCCGGUCUACGGAUCGGGAAAGAAAGUCAUACCGUGGGUAUGACGCUCAAGGAUGGGCUCAUGUCCUAUCAGCUUGUUGGUAGGGUAACGGCCUACCAAGGCUCCGACGGGUAGCUGGUCUGAGAGGACGAUCAGCCACACUGGCACUGCGACACGGGCCAGACUCCUACGGGAGGCAGCAGUGAGGAAUAUUGCGCAAUGGGCGAAAGCCUGACGCAGCGACGCCGCGUGGGGAUGAAGGUCUUCGGAUUGUAAACCCCUUUCGGGAGGGAAGAUGGUUGCAUACAACUGCAACGGACGGUACCCCAGAAGCAGCCACGGCUAACUUCGUGCCAGC
Molecule: ribosomal RNA, 490 nt
Filed under: uncultured bacterium
Lineage: Bacteria
Description: bacterial SSU rRNA
Rfam family: Bacterial small subunit ribosomal RNA
Source: RNAcentral